UACGGAGGGUGCAAGCGUUGCUCGGAAUUAUUGGGCGUAAAGGGCAGGUAGGUGGUCUCAUUUGUCAGGGGUGAAAGCCUUGGGCUUAACUCAAGAAGUGCCCCUGAAACGGUGAGACUAGAGUGCUGGAGAGGGUCGUGGAAUACCCGGUGUAGCGGUGAAAUGCGUAGAGAUCGGGUGGAACACCAGAGGCGAAGGCGGCGACCUGGACAGUGACUGACACUCAACUGCGAAAGCGUGGGGAGCAAACAGG
This 253-nucleotide ribosomal RNA is filed under the name uncultured bacterium. Its description in RNAcentral is "partial 16S ribosomal RNA". It matches the Rfam family "Bacterial small subunit ribosomal RNA", at positions 524 to 776 of the family's 1533-position model. The record is from RNAcentral.